RNAcentral lists this ribosomal RNA (301 nucleotides) under uncultured bacterium. RNAcentral describes it as "partial 16S ribosomal RNA". It matches the Rfam family "Bacterial small subunit ribosomal RNA", at positions 509 to 807 of the family's 1533-position model. The record is from RNAcentral.
CAGCAGCCGCGGUAAUACGGAGGGAGCUAGCGUUGUUCGGAAUUACUGGGCGUAAAGCGCGCGUAGGCGGUUACUCAAGUCAGAGGUGAAAGCCCGGGGCUCAACCCCGGAACUGCCUUUGAAACUAGGUGACUAGAAUCUUGGAGAGGUCAGUGGAAUUCCGAGUGUAGAGGUGAAAUUCGUAGAUAUUCGGAAGAACACCAGUGGCGAAGGCGACUGAUUGGACAAGUAUUGACGCUGAGGUGCGAAAGCGUGGGGAGCAAACAGGAUUAGAUACCCCAGUAGUCCCUGUCUCUUAUAC